CUUGUCCUACGGGGGGCAGCAGUAGGGAAUCUUCCACAAUGGACGAAAGUCUGAUGGAGCAACGCCGCGUGAGUGAAGAAGGGUUUCGGCUCGGAAAGCUCUGUUGGUAGUGAAGAAAGAUAGAGGGAGUAACUGGCCUUUAUUUGACGGGAAUUACUUAGAAAGUCACGGCUAACUACGUGCCAGCAGCCGCGGGAAUACGUAGGUGGCAAGCGUUGUCCGGAGUUAUUGGGCGUAAAGCGAGUGCAGGCGGGGCAAAAAGUGUGAUG
This 269-nucleotide ribosomal RNA is filed under the name uncultured bacterium. RNAcentral's name for it is "partial 16S ribosomal RNA". It matches the Rfam family "Bacterial small subunit ribosomal RNA", at positions 333 to 594 of the family's 1533-position model. The record is from RNAcentral.